RNAcentral lists this small RNA (820 nucleotides) under uncultured fungus. RNAcentral's name for it is "eukaryotic LSU rRNA". The stretch from base 537 to 820 matches the Rfam family "Eukaryotic large subunit ribosomal RNA", at positions 1 to 281 of the family's 3401-position model. The record is from RNAcentral. Lineage: Eukaryota; Fungi.
CUUGGUCAUUUAGAGGAAGUAAAAGUCGUAACAAGGUUUCCGUAGGUGAACCUGCGGAAGGAUCAUUACCGAGUUCAUGCCCUUCGGGGUAGAUCUCCCACCCUUUGUAUACUAUACCUUUGUUGCUUUGGCGGGCCGCCUAGCUACUGGCUUCGGCUGGUAAGUGCCCGCCAGAGAACCCAAAACCCUGAAUUAUUAGUGUCGUCUGAGUAAAAUAUUUAAUAUUUAAAACUUUCAACAACGGAUCUCUUGGCUCUGGCAUCGAUGAAGAACGCAGCGAAAUGCGAUAAGUAAUGUGAAUUGCAGAAUUCAGUGAAUCAUCGAAUCUUUGAACGCACAUUGCGCCCUUUGGUAUUCCGGAGGGCAUGCCUGUUCGAGCGUCAUUUCAACCCUCAAGCCUGGCUUGGUAUUGGGCGACCUCCCCAAUCGGAGGUGCUCGAAAAUCAAUGGCGGCGAACCCAAACCUUUGAGCGCAGUAAAAUAUUUCGUUCUGCAAGGGGGGGUGACGUCUGCCAACCACAAAUAUUUUCUAUGGUUGACCUCGGAUCAGGUAGGAUUACCCGCUGAACUUAAGCAUAUCAAUAAGCGGAGGAAAAGAAACCAACAGGGAUUGCCUUAGUAACGGCGAGUGAAGCGGCAACAGCUCAAAUUUGAAAUCUGGCUCUUUCAGGGUCCGAAUUGUAAUUUGUAGAGGAAGCUUCGGGCUCGAUUCCGGUCUAAUUUCCUUGGAAUAGGACGUCAUAGAGGGUGAGAAUCCCGUAUGUGACUGGAAAUCGUCGUCCAUGUGUAGCUCCUUCGACGAGUCGAGUUGUUUGGGAAU